GGUUACUGCUAUCGAGGUUCGACUAAGCCAUGCGAGUCGAAUGUAGCAAUACAUGGCGUACUGCUCAGUAACACGUGGACAACCUACCCUUAGGCCUGGGAUAACCCCGGGAAACUGGGAAUAAUACCGGAUAUCUCGCGAAUGCUGGAAUGCGUCGCGAUAGAAAGCUCCGGCGCCUAAGGAUGGGUCUGCGGCCUAUCAGGUAGUAGUGGGUGUAACGUACCUACUAGCCUACGACGGGUACAGGUUGUGAGAGCAAGAGCCCGGAGAUGGAUUCUGAGACACGAAUCCAGGCCCUACGGGGUGCAGCAGGCGCGAAAACUUUACAAUGCUGGAAACAGCGAUAAGGGGACCUCGAGUGCCAGGAUACAAUCCUGGCUGUCGUAAUGCCUAAAAAGCAUUGCAUACAAGGGCCGGGCAAGACCGGUGCCAGCCGCCGCGGUAACACCGGCGGCUCGAGUGGUAACCGCUAUUAUUGGGUCUAAAGGGUCUGUAGCCGGCUGACUAAGUCUCUUGGGAAAUCUGACAGCUUAACUGUCAGGCUUUCAAGAGAUACUGAUCGGCUCGAGACCGGGAGAGGUGAGAGGUACCUCAGGGGUAGGGGUGAAAUCUUGUAAUCCUUGAGGGACCACCAGUGGCGAAGGCGUCUCACCAGAACGGAUCUGACGGCAAGGGACGAGAGCUAGGGGCACGAACCGGAUUAGAUACCCGGGUAGUCCUAGCCGUAA
Molecule: ribosomal RNA, 728 nt
Filed under: uncultured archaeon
Lineage: Archaea
Description: bacterial SSU rRNA
Rfam family: Archaeal small subunit ribosomal RNA
Source: RNAcentral